RNAcentral lists this ribosomal RNA (442 nucleotides) under uncultured bacterium. Its description in RNAcentral is "partial 16S ribosomal RNA". It matches the Rfam family "Bacterial small subunit ribosomal RNA", at positions 338 to 795 of the family's 1533-position model. The record is from RNAcentral.
CCUACGGGUGGCAGCAGUGAGGAAUAUUGGUCAAUGGGCGCGAGCCUGAACCAGCCAAGUAGCGUGAAGGAAGAAGGCUUUCGGGUUGUAAACUUCUUUUAAGAGGGAAGAGCAGAAGACGGUACCUCUUGAAUAAGCCACGGCUAACUACGUGCCAGCAGCCGCGGUAAUACGUAGGUGGCAAGCGUUGUCCGGAUUUACUGGGUGUAAAGGGCGUGCAGCCGGGAAGACAAGUCAGAUGUGAAAUCCCGCGGCUCAACCGCGGAACUGCAUUUGAAACUGUUUUUCUUGAGUACCGGAGAGGUCAUCGGAAUUCCUUGUGUAGCGGUGAAAUGCGUAGAUAUAAGGAAGAACACCAGUGGCGAAGGCGGGUUCCUGGACAUUAACUGACGCUGAGGCACGAAGGCCAGGGGAGCGAAAGGGAUUAGAUACCCUUGUAGUC